AGAGUGAACGCUGGCGGUAGGCCUAACACAUGCAAGUCGAACGGCAGCACGGUAAGAGCUUGCUCUUAUGGGUGGCGAGUGGCGGACGGGUGAGGAAUACAUCGGAAUCUACCUUUUGGUGGGGGAUAACGGUAGGGAAACUUACGCUAAUACCGCAUACGCCCGUUCGGGGGAAAGCCGGGGACCAGCAAUGGCCUGGUGCUGAUAGAUGAGCCGAUGUCGGAUUAGCUAGUUGGUGAGGUAAUGG
RNAcentral lists this ribosomal RNA (247 nucleotides) under uncultured soil bacterium. RNAcentral describes it as "partial 16S ribosomal RNA". It matches the Rfam family "Bacterial small subunit ribosomal RNA", at positions 26 to 263 of the family's 1533-position model. The record is from RNAcentral.